RNAcentral lists this long non-coding RNA (1182 nucleotides) under Helianthus annuus (common sunflower). Lineage: Eukaryota; Viridiplantae; Streptophyta; Magnoliopsida; Asterales; Asteraceae. The record is from RNAcentral.
AUGAGAUAUAAAGUUGGUCAAUUGAGGUUUUUGUGUAAAGUGAGAAACCUUAUGAUGAUGUAAGUACUCGGAGAUCCCAGUCAGCAAAGUCACAGACAAUCGCAAGAAUAAAGAGCGCUAAAUAUAAACUAAAAGAAAGAAGCUGAAAGUUAGGAGCUGGAAGCACCUAACCAGAAGCUGAUACACCAACAGCUGGUGAGAGGAAAUUAAGGUUACUGUACAACCUUGGAACUUGAACUAAACAGGUCAAACUGAUUAGACAUCUCUCUACAACACAUAAAUGUGUUUUCGAGACACACAAACCUGAAACAUACCCAAAGAGGCAAGGCUAACCCUGCAAGCAACAUCAGGGAAGGAUAAGCUUACCAAGACUAGAAGGUGCAAAGCUGGCAUGAGGCUCCCUUGGGCAGAGUAAUCUGCCUAUAAAUGGAGGGUCUUGUUCCAUCCCAAAGUAAGUCAAUCUCUCUCAUUCUCAUUCUCACUCUAAAACUCUUAUCCUUUCAUUUCGCUUAGACUCUUAAGAUCAUCCUACUGAUUCUCAUGCCGAAGUCCAAACGCGGGAGGCCACCUCUCGCGUUAAGACUAACGGUGUUCUUUGAUUGCAGAUUCCGACAAACGAGCUACCUUUUGGAGUUAAUAGUGGACCUUCCCCCUGCCAUACUCUUGUUGCUUUAACAAGUGACGCCCACCGUGUGGCUGCACUACUUAGAACAGUUUUUCCGGUGGUAUAGCCUUGUUCCUAAGUUACAUUCUCUUAUGGCUGGAAAGGAUCAUCAUCCAAAGGAAGUUUCAAGCAGUUCCUUGUCUUGGUCUAGUCCUCCGGCUACUCCCGGAGUAGGGCGAACCAUCGAAUAAUUUAAUCUGAAAGUGAUUACACGCCUCUUAGAUCAUCCAAUGCAAUCUCGAGAAUUUUACGGAGAUCUGACGGCGCGCGUCACAGCAAAUGCAGAAGAAUUCCGAUCUCCGAUGCUUGGCUCUUUCUUAGUUGGUUGUUCCUUCAGACUCGUGUAAUAUUUCAUUAUUCUUGCUUACUAAAAGUGAGUUUGAUUUCUAUAUAACGAUUAAUCAAGGGUACGUGCCAGUGGCGGAGCUAGAAAUUUUUUAUAAUGGUGUCAUUUUUUAUAGAUACCUUGUUUAUAGUAACCCGGAGUCUAACUUAUUGGAUCGGUUCGGAUCUAGUCG